UACAUGGGGUGCAAACGUUGCUCGGAAUUAUUGGGCGUAAAGCGCACGUAGGCGGUUCGUUAAGUCGGAUGUGAAAGCCCUUGGCUUAACCGAGGAAGUGCAUCCGAAACUGGCGAGCUAGAGUACGAAAGAGGAUCGCGGAAUUCCCGGUGUAGAGGUGAAAUUCGUAGAUAUCGGGAGGAACACCGGUGGCGAAGGCGGCGAUCUGGGUCGAUACUGACGCUGAGGAGCGAAAGCGUGGGGAGCGAACAGG
This 253-nucleotide ribosomal RNA is filed under the name uncultured bacterium. RNAcentral's name for it is "partial 16S ribosomal RNA". It matches the Rfam family "Bacterial small subunit ribosomal RNA", at positions 524 to 776 of the family's 1533-position model. The record is from RNAcentral.